Passer domesticus (house sparrow) is the source of this 2339-nucleotide long non-coding RNA. RefSeq lists it as uncharacterized. The record is from RefSeq and is a predicted model, not a curated record. Lineage: Eukaryota; Metazoa; Chordata; Aves; Passeriformes; Passeridae. The transcript has 3 exons.
GUGCUUACCUUCAGGGAUGCUCACAGCCCAUGGGUUAUGUCACUGCAAUGUAGCCUCUUCUCCUUUGGUGGUUUGUUUGUGACUGAGAUUAAUGUAAACCCAGAAUAUUUGAUGUGGGACAGUUUUGCCUCUAACUCUGCCAGUUUGCUUGGCAACAGGUGUAAUGGUAGGGGGAAACUCUCUGGAAGGCAGAUAAUACCAGGGGCUUGGAAUGAAGAUGUCAAGUGACCUUAUAAAAAAAGCCUCAGUGUGCGUGUUCAGCUCUCUGAUCCUGCUGCAAGAUCUUUGAGACACAUCCCCAGCAACACCUUUGAUACCCAGGAAUAUCACAACGCUGCUGGAGGGUCUGUGCCAUCCUGCCCAACUCCAAAUCAAGCAGAAUAACACAAAAAUCAGCCCAAAGUACAAUGUCUUAGCUUUGAUGACUCUUCAGACCUUUCAUUUUUCAGCUUUUAUUCAGCCACUGGCUCCUUUACCAGAUCACACAGGUGCCCCAAGAGGAGCUUGGUUGCAAGCAGCAGCAAAGCAGGCUCAGAGAAAGUGCUUGCAGCACCAAAAUUACAAACAUUCACCAAAAAUUACAUCUGCAUUUAGGGGAAACAAUGCUGGGAAGAAGGUUUGAGAAGCAAUGAUGAACCCUUUACCCCUCACAAUCUUGUCCCUUCUGCUUGCAAAUGAGUUGCCUUAGUCUCUAUUUUCAAGGUUGGUCACUGUCAAAGGCCAGUAAUGUUCCUUGCUGAGUCUGAUCUUGACCACAGCUCUGUCUUGAACCAGCAGAGGAGGUGGAGGCAUAACUGAGCAGACCUGUCGUGUCCAAGCUGCAGAAGAGAGUGUGGAAAAGAGGAAUGUGACGUCAGGCAGCAUCUCUCACCAUAUGUGGGAGUUCACCUGGAGUUCACAUCUGACUUUAACGUGGAGCUGGAGCUGAUGCGUGGGCUCACAUCCAUCACAUCCCUUGGCUGGAAGGAUUUCAGCGGGGGAACUUGUUUUGGUGGAGGAAGAUCACAGGGAUCUGCCAGCAGGAACUGAGCAGCAGCAAAGACUCCAGGCAGAGACAGGAAGGAGGAGGAGGAGGAGUUUUAGGUAACACCAUGCAUGUAGGUGUGAAACACAUUGAUUCUCCCAAGCCCAAAUUGCAAUGCCUCUGUUUCAGUUUGAACUCCCUGACUGUACUCAAACAAAAGCCAUGAGAUGAGACUUGUUGAAAUAUAACAGCUUAUUUCUGUCUCUGGUGUUUUUGUGCUCUCCGAGUCACAGCAGUGGGAUGAUUUUUUACAAACUACACAAGCACUCAUGAAUGUACAGCAAGGACUGAGGCUAAGUUUAUAAUAUUCAGCGCAGGCAGGUUUGAGCUUGCUUUGACAAAGCUGGGUCAAACCAUAGGAGAAGCCCCAAGCCCACGCUUGCACUGCCAGCCUGGUUUAACCUCUUCUGGGCAAUGCAAAGUGAAUGGAGGCUGCACACCAGCAGUGCCACAAACUCAAACUUCCCCAAAUGCCAUGCCAUGCACCCUUUAAGCUGUGUGCAGGAAGCACAGGACUCAAAACUGUCCAACAUCCCCCCCUCAAAAUUUGAGUGGAUGACCUAAGUUGCUUUUCUCUACCACCACCCCCGUGAGACAACUGGCUGAGUUUUUUUGCUGUAAAAGCACUCAGUAAUACGAGGUUUGGCAUCAAUCUCUGCAAAGCUUUAUUCAGCACUCUUCUGACAGCCCUGCAGAGCAUUCUCUGUUGAAGCAGGAUGGCAAGACAAAGAAAGAAGCAGCAAGAAAAGCCUGCAGCCUCCAACGUGCUCCUCAUGGCCGUGUGUGCGCUCUGACUGUCUGGCCUGAAACGUGUAUACAGGCUGUGUCCUAAGUGCCCUGAUAAGAUUGGGGCUCCAGAAUGUGUUGUCCUGAGAACAUUUGCUGCUGUUUAUCUGUGAGCUGAAAAACUUUCCAAAGUCCCCCGGCCAUCAGCCCCGACACCCUGGCUCAGAGCAGAUGACAGGCCGAGGCGAUACCCAACAGCUUUCGUGCCACGGGGUGAUACCGAAGUGGCUGAGAACCCAAAAGCUCAGCCUGAGCUGUUGAGUGGGGUCUGCUGACACCGUUGUGGCUGUUGAUACCCAGCACUGCUGCUCUUGUGGCAUCCUGUGGGAAAGUGUGGGAUCUGUCCCCUCCCCAGGCCCGAGGAACUCAUCCUCCUGGAGCCGACAGUCAGGAGGUGACAGCCCCAUCCUCCCUUCUGCUCCCAUCCGGGCUGUCAGAUCCAACCUAGGGGUGAAUAUAUGCAUCACCAUCAGCUUAUGAGCACAUAGAAACAUAUAAAUAUAUAAGUAUUUCUCCAGCACAAUGUGUU